UUGAUGUUCCCAUUUGGUGGAAACUCAAUAGUCAUAGGUAUCCUACUCUUGCCCUACUAGCUCGUGAUGUUUUAGCGAUUCCUCCAUCCACAGUUGCUUCGGAAUAAGCUUUUAGCACCGGUGGUCGUGUGCUUGAUGCAUGUAGGAGUUCUUUAAUGCCUAAGAUGGUGCAAGCUCUUAUUUGUGCUCAAGAUUGUCUACGUGGACCUUCCUAUUAUCUUCAUGACACUGAGAAUGAUUUGGCAGAGCUUGAGAAAGUUGAUGAAGAGUUGUUAAAGAUUACAGUGGACAAUGUACUUGAUAAUCUUUAAGGUAAUCAAGUUGCUGCUGAAAAUCCAACCCAAGAACCUGCCAUUGCACUUCCCUUUGUUGCACCACUCUUGUCUCCUGCAUCUUUCCUUCCAUCUGAACCCCCUUCUGUUGUUGUUUUGUAUGUUUAAUUAUCAUGACAGUAAUGAUAGUUGUUAGUUGUUGGAUGUUCUUGUUGUUGUUGGAUCUUUUGCUUUUCUACUAUGUUGAAAUUUAUAAGGAUCGAAAUGAUGUAGGUCCUUUUUUCUUUUUGCAUAUUUGAAUUGUUGUAAAAGUGCAGCAUCUUUCCUUGAUUUUUGGUUAUAGUUGUGCUGCUGUGGGAUAUUUCUUGCUCUGUUUCUUGAAUAUAUUCAGGGGAGUUGUAGGAA
Non-coding RNA from Theobroma cacao (cacao), 677 nucleotides. Lineage: Eukaryota; Viridiplantae; Streptophyta; Magnoliopsida; Malvales; Malvaceae. The record is from RefSeq and is a predicted model, not a curated record.